AGUGAACGCUGGCGGUAGGCCUAACACAUGCAAGUCGAACGGCAGCACAGUAAGAGCUUGCUCUUACGGGUGGCGAGUGGCGGACGGGUGAGGAAUACAUCGGAAUCUACUUUUUCGUGGGGGAUAACGUAGGGAAACUUACGCUAAUACCGCAUACGACCUACGGGUGAAAGCAGGGGAUCUUCGGACCUUGCGCGAUUGAAUGAGCCGAUGUCGGAUUAGCUAGUUGGCGGGGUAAAGGCCCACCAAGGCGACGAUCCGUAGCUGGUCUGAGAGGAUGAUCAGCCACACAGGAACUGAGACACGGUCCAGCCUCCAACGGGAGGCAGCAGUGGGGAAUAUUGGACAAUGGGCGCAAGCCUCUUCCAGCCAUACCGCGUGGGUGAAGAAGGCCUUCGGGUUGUAAAGCCCUUUUGUUGGGAAAGAAAAGCAGCAGGUUAAUACCCCGCUGUUCCGACGGUACCCAAAGAAUAAGCACCGGCUAACUUCGU
Molecule: ribosomal RNA, 491 nt
Filed under: uncultured bacterium
Lineage: Bacteria
Description: partial 16S ribosomal RNA
Rfam family: Bacterial small subunit ribosomal RNA
Source: RNAcentral